Molecule: long non-coding RNA, 453 nt
Organism: Lathyrus oleraceus (garden pea)
Lineage: Eukaryota; Viridiplantae; Streptophyta; Magnoliopsida; Fabales; Fabaceae
Exons: 2
Source: RefSeq, a predicted model, not a curated record
GAACAGCAAAAGAGUUCCACAAACGCGAACGCGAUUGAAACAUCGAACAACACCUAUCCAUGAAGCAUAAUCAACUUGUUGUUCUUAUUACAUAUGCUUUGAAUUAGAAUAGAUGAAUCUUUAUUUCUAUAUGGCAUGUGAAAAAGAACUGAAAAUAAUAAGUGGGAUGCUUAUUUUAUGUCGUGGUUAAAUGAAACUCAGCGUGUUAUGCAGGAUUCUGUGCCAGUGCUUUUGAACUUUGCAGAUUGGUGCAUUGAUGGGCAUUAGCCUUCCGUCUUGGUGUGCUCAAAUUAUGGAGUUUUAGAUUAGAAUUUAUGUAUUGGUUUUGUUAAUUAUGAAAGGGAUUACGUAAUGAAUGUUUUGAUUUUGCAUGGAAUGGAGUUUGAGUGGAAAUUUAUUAGAUUGAAUGAAAGUUGAAUGUUUGAAUGAUUAUGGAUUCUAUGUUAUGACAAG